UUUUAAAGUCUGACCUGCCCACUGAGAGUUUUUAAAUGGCCGCAGUAUUCUAACUGUGCAAAGGUAGCAUAAUCAAUAGUCUUUUAAUUGAAGGCUGGUAUGAAUGGUUGGACGAGGUAUAAACUGUUUCAUGUAAAUUUAUAAUAGAAUUUUAUAUUUUAGUUAAAAAGCUAAAAUGUUGUUAAAAGACGAGAAGACCCUAUAAAUCUUUAUAUUUUAUAUAAUAUAAAUUUUUUGGAUUUGUUUUAUUUUUAUUAUAUAAAAUAUUUUGUUGGGGUGAUGUUAAAAUUUGAUAAACUUUUAAUUUUUUUUUGUCAUUAAUUUAUGUAUUAUUGAUCCAUUAGUAGUGAUUAUAAGAUUAAGUUACUUUAGGGAUAACAGCGUAAUUUUUUUGGAGAGUUCAUAUCGAUAAAAAAGUUUGCGACCUCGAUGUUGGAUUAAGAUAUAAUUUUAGGUGUAGCUGCUUAAAU
RNAcentral lists this ribosomal RNA (470 nucleotides) under Bactrocera mayi. RNAcentral describes it as "partial large subunit ribosomal RNA". It matches the Rfam family "Bacterial large subunit ribosomal RNA", at positions 1843 to 2568 of the family's 2925-position model. The record is from RNAcentral. Lineage: Eukaryota; Metazoa; Arthropoda; Insecta; Diptera; Tephritidae.